This 333-nucleotide ribosomal RNA is filed under the name uncultured bacterium. RNAcentral describes it as "bacterial SSU rRNA". It matches the Rfam family "Bacterial small subunit ribosomal RNA", at positions 568 to 898 of the family's 1533-position model. The record is from RNAcentral.
CGUGUAGGCGGUUGGUCAAGUCUGGUGUGAAAGCCCGGGGCUCACCCCCGGAAGUGCAUCGGAAACUAGCCAGCUAGAGCGCGAUAGAGGAGGGUGGAAUUCCUGGUGUAGCGGUGAAAUGCGUAGAUAUCAGGAGGAACACCGGCGGCGAAGGCGGCCCUCUGGAUCGUUGCUGACGCUGAGACGCGAAAGCGUGGGGAGCAAACAGGAUUAGAUACCCUGGUAGUCCACGCCUGUAAACGAUGGGUACUAGGUGUUCGGGGUAUUGACCCCCUGAGUGCCGCAGCUAACGCAUUAAGUACCCCGCCUGGGGACUACGACCGCAAGGUUAAA